CUUCCCCGCGUUGGCGCUCCUCCGAACCCGGGCCCUCUGUCCCUCUCUGUCCUUACCUCGGGCUGGGCCCGCGGCCGGGAGGAGCUUCCACAUGGGCCCUGCUGCCGGCCGACGCGACCGGCGCCAGCCCGCCUGCCAGCCGCCCGAGCUGCGGGGCGAGCGCUCCCGGGCCGCGCGAGCCUCUGUGCUGCCGGCGGGAUGCAGCGGGCGUGCGGCCAGGGCGCGGGGCCGCCACCUGCUGGGGAGCCAGGAACAGCGCUGUCUACAAGUUCACCAGCCAGGACACCUCCGACUACUUGAGAACACACGUGUGAUGGUGCAAUUUCUGCUUUUCUGAAAGAACUCGGAGGAGACCUGAUAGAGGAGCUUGGGGAACAUCUCCGUCAGGACACAGUCCCUGCAGGUCAAUGAAAUCUACCACGAUGAGUCUUUGGGGGCCCACAUCAACGUGGUGCUGGUGCGGAUCAUCCUGCUGAGCUGUGGGAAGGUGAGUGAAUACCCGGAGCAUGAAUGC
Molecule: long non-coding RNA, 514 nt
Organism: Ochotona curzoniae (black-lipped pika)
Lineage: Eukaryota; Metazoa; Chordata; Mammalia; Lagomorpha; Ochotonidae
Exons: 3
Source: RefSeq, a predicted model, not a curated record